UACGGAGGGUGCAAGCGUUGUUCGGAAUUAUUGGGCGUAAAGCGCUCGUAGGUUGCUUUGUAAGUCUGAUGUGAAAGCCCGGGGCUCAACCCCGGAAGUGCAUUGGAAGCUGGAUAGCUUGAGUACGGGAGAGGGUAGUGGAAUUUCGAGUGUAGGGGUGAAAUCCGUAGAUAUUCGAAGGAACACCGGUGGCGAAGGCGGCUACCUGGACCGAUACUGACGCUGAGACGCGAAAGCGUGGGGAGCAAAC
This 250-nucleotide ribosomal RNA is filed under the name uncultured bacterium. RNAcentral describes it as "partial 16S ribosomal RNA". It matches the Rfam family "Bacterial small subunit ribosomal RNA", at positions 524 to 773 of the family's 1533-position model. RNAcentral also lists the same sequence under 1 other name. The record is from RNAcentral.